GAUAUUUUACUCUCUGAGUCGAACACUCACUCCUGUUCACCUAUUUUUCCAGGCUACAUGAGGAGUUCUUUUACAGAGUAACCUGUUUUCUUCCUUGCAGGUUUAACGUCAGUUAUUUAAUUGUUUUAAUAUUUUUUCUAAAUUUGAAAUCUAGAACUCCACAUGUGUUAGCAGUAGUAUAGACCCUAUUAGGAAUUGUGUUAAUUUAAAUUCUUGAGGUUAAUAAAUAAAGAUUUGUAUGAUACUUAAACAAUUUGUAAAUGAUGUAACCGGGUUGAGCUAGGCUCCCCUAAUUUGAGUUUCUGAUAAUUAUUGGAUUAAGUUGAUCCGGAA
RNAcentral lists this unclassified non-coding RNA (333 nucleotides) under Hevea brasiliensis (rubber tree). The record is from RNAcentral. Lineage: Eukaryota; Viridiplantae; Streptophyta; Magnoliopsida; Malpighiales; Euphorbiaceae.